AGGAUAAUAGUUAAAAUAACGUUUAACUUGCACUUAAAAAAUAUUGAAUAAUCAAUUUAUCUUA
This 64-nucleotide transfer RNA is filed under the name Elateroidea sp. AH-2016. Its description in RNAcentral is "tRNA-Ala". Lineage: Eukaryota; Metazoa; Arthropoda; Insecta; Coleoptera. The record is from RNAcentral.